GUGACCAUUUUUUUAAUCCGAAAACAGGAUAACAUGAAUUUUGACCAGCCACGUACAAAUUUUAUAAAUUUUUAUUAAAAUUUAACCCAACGGCCAAUCUGUGUACCUACGAGGAUGUAUUGAUAUGUAGACCAGUUCCAUGCAUAAACAAAAUAUUGCGUUACCAUAGCAACGAACAAUAACUUAAGAAGUGUCAGUGCAAAGUUUGACGUCAAAAAAGUAAACCAAUAAAUUAAAAGAAAAAAGAUGUCCACCGAAAUUGUGAAAAUCGAAAAAUUGGAGUAUCGAGCCAUCAUCAAGUACCUGUAUUUAAAAGGGUUAAGAGUUGUGCAUACUUUCGCUCAGAAACAGUAAGGCGGAAGGAAAUUCAUCUGGAAAACCUUCCUCUAGCUAGCGUGUACCAAGACCAUCUUUGGAAGCAUCAGCUUCUAGCACAAUUUUUUUUUCAAGAGCAAAAAAUUUUAAUACUGUCGAAGAGUUCUUGGAACCUAGAACAAAAAAAUAUUCUGUAAGAGCCUCGGUCUGUGUGACUAAUUUAUAUAAAAUUUAUUAACAAUCAGAUUGAGCCUGUAGUCCACCGGUGGAGAAAAAUGACGAGUUACAAUAAUUGUACUUCACUUUCCUAUCAAUAAGUUCUUCCAUUUACAGUAUUACGCCAUCUGAUCGCAAAUAACGUUAGGGUGAAAAGGGUACCCAUGAUGAUGCCGGUCGAAAGUAAGUGUGUUACGCAUAGGCAACUGAGUCCUCUCAUAUACAGCACGAAUCUUCAACUUUGUUUUUGGAAAUAGGUGCAAAAGAUGCGUACUUUCGAUCGAGAUAUAAAGAAAAAACUAUUACUGACUCUGUCACGAAUUUCCUACCGAAUGAGCAAGCCAGUAAUAUGCACUGCGCCGCUAGCAUUUUCGUGGAUGUCCAGAAAGCUUUUGAUCAGAUCUCACACGCCGGAUUGGUUAAAAAGCUUCUGAGUAUCCGUCUGCUACAUCCAAUAAUGAAAUGGAUAUAUUCAAAUUGUCACUGCUCAACGUUCCAUACUAUCCCUCCUUUUAUAUAUCAUUUACAAAUGUGAUACUCUAGAAUCUUAACACCCCUUAAAAACGGCUCAAUUAUAUGCGGACGUUACCGCAUCAUUGCUUACACCCCAGGCAUUCGUUCUCUUAUCAUUUGAUUGAAAAAAACUCAAGACCAAAUUCUCAAAUUGGUGUGGAAAUUGGAGGAUGUCUCUCAAUUCUCAAAAAAACCAAAUCUUGUCACGUAUCUUGUACUUCAAUAAAUAAAAGAUUUUUUAUUUAA
Long non-coding RNA from Diorhabda sublineata, 1290 nucleotides. RefSeq lists it as uncharacterized. The record is from RefSeq and is a predicted model, not a curated record. Lineage: Eukaryota; Metazoa; Arthropoda; Insecta; Coleoptera; Chrysomelidae. The transcript has 3 exons.